Molecule: ribosomal RNA, 271 nt
Filed under: uncultured archaeon
Lineage: Archaea
Description: partial 16S ribosomal RNA
Rfam family: Archaeal small subunit ribosomal RNA
Source: RNAcentral
CGGCGGCCCAAGUGGUGGCCGCUAUUAUUGGGCCUAAAGCGUCCGUAGCCGGGCCCGUAAGUCCCUGGCGAAAUCCCACGGCUCAACCGUGGGGCUUGCUGGGGAUACUGCGGGCCUUGGGACCGGGAGAGGCCGGGGGUACCCCUGGGGUAGGGGUGAAAUCCUAUAAUCCCAGGGGGACCGCCAGUGGCGAAGGCGCCCGGCUGGAACGGGCCCGACGGUGAGGGACGAAGGCCAGGGGAGCGAACCGGAUUAGAUACCCGAGUAGUCC